CCUAUGUCCAAGAAAAUUAAGGAAUGCAGACACAAGGGUCGGGGUGGAGUCAAAGUUUAAUAAGCAAAAAAGAAAGCUUUCUGCAGCAGAGAGGGGAGUCCAAGUGGAUUGCCGGGUUACAGCUGAAUUUAAAAGCGUUUUAUAAGAAACUGCUCUCUUCCCUGUAACUGUUGGAAUAACUUUUCUUACCAGUAAAGCUGUCUGUGCAAUUCUUCUUCUCUUAUGCAGCUGUGGGUAUGUCUCUAGGCAAGCACAAAGCCCCACUUCUCUUGUUUGUAUAACUGUGGGUUUGUUUUAGGGGUGGGGCCGCUUUAUAGGGUUUGGGAAGAUAAUGGAAAAUUACAGUCAAAGGGGGUUGUUCUCUGGUGGGCAGGGGCGGGGGUCACAAGGUGCUCAGUGGGGGAGCUUCUGAGCCAGGAGAAGGAAAUUCACAGGGUUAAUCACUCAGUUAAGGUGGGGCAGGAACAAAUCACAAUGGUGGAAUAUCAUCAGUUAAGGCGUGGCAGGGCCUUUUCACUUCUUUUGUGAUUCUUCAGUUACUUCAGGCCAUCUGGGCGUAUACAUGCAAGUCACAGGGGAUGCGAUGGCUUGGCUUGGGCUCAGAGACCUGACAUUCCUGCCUUCUGAUAUUAAUAAGAAAAAUAAAACAAAAUAGUGUUGAAGUGUUGGGGUGGCAAAAAUUUUUGGGGGGUGGUAUGGAGAGAGAAUGGGCGAUGUUUCUCAGGGCUGCUUCAAGCGGGAUUAGGGGCAGCGUGGGAACCUAGAGUGGGAGAGAUUAAGCUGAAGGGAGGUCUUGUGGUAAGGGGUGAUAUUGUGGGGAUGUUAGAAGAGACAUUUCUUGUAUAGAAUGAUUGGUGAUGGCCUGGAUACGGUUUUGGAUGAAUUGAGAAACUAAAUGGAAGAUACAAGGUCCGAAUAAAAGAAGGAGAAAAAUGGGUAUUAAAGGACUAAGAAUUGGGAGGCCCUAGGACAUCCAAUUAGAGAGUGCCUAAGGGGUUCAGCAUAAUUACUUGCUUGGUUGGCAAGUUUUUGGGCUCUAUCCUUGAGUUUUUUUAUGUUGUCAUACACCAGGCCAGAUUGAUUUAGGUAAAAACAACACUCUUCAUUUAAGAAUAUGCAGAGUCCUCCUUUUUCAGCAGUGAGUAAGUCAAGGCCUCGGCGGUUUUGGAGGACAACUGCAGCUAAAGAGUCAACUUGGAGUACUGAUAAAGUUUGUGACAUGUCUGUGAUGCUAGCAGAGAAGUCAUUAGAGAGGCUACGGAAGGUCGAGACAGAAGUUGAAAUGCCUGCUAUUCCAGUACUGAGAGCAAUAGUGGAGGCAGAAAGUCCUAAACCGACCAUCAAGGGAAUUAGUGGAAUAACUCUUCUUUGUCAUGUCGGUGUCAUGAGGGGAACAGGGAGCUCUUCGGUCCUAUUUGCAAAUUGAAUUUUGGGGGAAAGGAAGACUAGUGUGCAUGUGCCUGUCCAAUUAGCAGGUAGACACAUGUAGGUAGAGGAACCACAGAGGAAGAAGAGACCUUGUGCAAGGCAAAACUGGAGAUGUAAAGUAAAAAGAUGAGAAGGAGUGCUGAAAGGGGUGUCUUGUACCUAGAGUCCUAGGGAUCCAGCUAGGGCGGCAGCUGUCAGAGGUUGUAAUGGGGACUGAUGGGGUAACUGCGUAGAGGGGGAGGUUCAAUUUUCAUGGUGUAUGAGAAAACAUUGAGUAUCUAUGAGCAACCUUUCACUGUUAUUUUCGGGGCUGGAUAUAAGUAAACAAGAAUAGGGCCUGGGAGGAGAGUCUGAUGAGCAAGGGGAAGGUAGCCAAGGAUGGAGUUCAAUACAGGGUAAGUGUCUUCCUAAGCAAUAAUUACUGCUAACAUUUUUAAGUUUAUCAGUAUUGAUAGAGGGCUUGUCUGUAAUAUGGAGCUGGAAGGCUCCAAUUGUUUCAGUGAUGUGUGUAAUUGGGCUUCGGAGAUGAAGAGUAAAGGAACAUCGAGAGGGUGAAAGAUUACCUAGGGGAAUUCCAGUGGGUCUUUGCUGAGAGAUACAUAAAGGAGCGGCCACAGGAAUAGUAGUUUGUGUUGUGAGAGGUCCGAAUAUGGGGGGAGUAGAGUUAAUAUAAGGAGAAAGGUUUUUUAAAUAAGUGCGAAGGAGGGCGGCAGCUUGCUGAUGUGAAAUGUCUGGGGAAGUCUUGCUGGACCUGUCUAGAGAGUAAAUGAGUUCUUCAGGAGGGUAAAGAUGAGGGCUGCUAAAGGAAGUUCAGAGGUGUAGGGAGACGGGAGAUAUUGCCCAGUCUGUCUGUAAGGCGGGGACAGCUGUGUAGGCACUGGAAGAAAGGGAAAUGCAAAGCCAGCAGUUGUUCACUAAGGAGGGACUAGAAGUGGCUAGGAGAGAAUGGGUAAGGUUGAUAGUGUGGUGGAGAUAGCUGGGGAGAGGUAGAGGGUGGCAUAAGAAUGGGAACGAGAAUAAGAGUGAGUAUAAAAGUAAAGAAUAGAACUUCAUCAGGGUGGAAGUAUUGGAGGGUGCCUUGCCAGCAAAGAUCAUCUACCCACUCUAAGAGGGAGUUAAGAGUGGCAGUUUGGGGUUAGCACCAAGAGAUAUCAGCUGUGAUGGCUUGAAGAAACAGUGUAAACCGGCGGUGUAAAGAAGAGUAGGGCAUUUAUAAGUAGUUGAGAAUGGAGAAUAGGAGUAUGACCAGACAGAAGAUAGUAGGGAUGACUAGUUUUUUUGGGCUCGGCCUAAGUGGUUGGGGUGACUUCGUAAAGCCCUGUUGCAAAAAGUAGGGUAAGGACGAACAGACCUAAUAGAAUGAAGGGAUGUAUUAGGCUCAUAAGGGUUAUUACUGCUCUUCAGAAAUAUGAGUGAGUUUAAGGGAAGUAGGGGAGAGUACUUGCGGCUUCCAGGAGGAAGAGGAGGGAUUAGGCUGGCUGUCCGAUGGACACAGCUUUAUUCUGGAAUGGUGAACCUAGUGGGGAGGAUCCUGCAGGCAGACGGCAGUCGGGGUACUAUAGAAGACGAGGUAGCAUCCGGUCCAUCGAGGUUGUAGAGUUUGAGGGGUCAGAUUCUUAACAAGAACUGAUCAUCCAGCUAGGAUGUCUCCAUAUGGCUGGGGAUCUGGAGUAGGCAAGAGAAGAUUAGCAGCCUGGUGAAUUUCCUGUCUAGCCUGCUGGAGGACUGGAAGAUAGUCACCUAGAGGGCUGGUGUCUGGGAUGAGGUUGGGGCCAAGCAAGAAAGUGUGUCCAUAUAAAAGUUCAAAUGGACCGUACCCUGUAGCAUCUCAAGGACAGGCUCUAAUUCUGAGAAGAGCAAGAGGUAAAAGUACUGUCCAAUCCUUUUUAAGUUGGAGGCUGAGCUUGGUGAGGUUUACCUUUAAAAGACCAUUAGUCCAUUCUACCUUUCCUGAAGAUUGAGGAUGGUAAGGGAUAUGAAGGUUCCACUGAAUACCAAGAGCCUGAGAAACUGCUUGGGUGAUUUGACUAGUAAAGGCUGGUCUGUCAUCAGACUGUAUAGAGGUGGGAAGCCUAAACUGAGGAAUUAUGUCUGACAGAGGGGAAGAAAUGACUGUGGUGGCCUUCUCAGACCCUGUAGGAAAGGCCUCUACUUAUCUAGUGAAAGUGUCUACUUAGACUAAGAGGUAUUUUAGUUAUCUGACUUGGGGCAUGUUGAGUGAAGCUAAUUUGCCAGUCCUGGGUGGGGGCAAAACCUUGAGCUUGAUGUGUAGGGAAGGGAGGGGGCCUGAAUAAUCCUUGAGGAGUAGUAGAAUAGCAGAUAGAAUAGCAGAUGGAACACUUGAGAAGUUAUUUCCUUGAGGAUAGAUUUCUACAAUGGAAAGGAAAUGAAAGGUUCAAAGAGGCGGGCUAGUGGCUUGUACUAUAGCAUAGCCUGCCUUUGCUGAUGUGUGGUGAUUAGGCCUGGUGGAACUGCCAUCAAUAAAUCAAGCGUGAUCAGGGUGAGAAACAGGGAAGAAGGAAAUGUGGGGAAAUAGGAUGAACAUCAGGUGGAUCAGAGAGAUGCAAUCAUGAGGGUCAGGUGUGGUAUCAGGAAUACUGUGGGAGGCUGGAUUGAAGUCCAGGCCAGGAACAAUGGUAAUUGUGGGACUUAACAAAGAGUGAGUACAGCUGAAGGAGCUGGGGAACAGAAAGUAUAUGCGUCAGGUAUGAGGAAGAAAAUAGAUUUUGGAAGUUAUGAGAAAUGUAGAGAGUGAGUUGAGCAUUGUUUGUGAUUUUUAGGGCCUCUAAAAUUAUUAAAGCAGCAGCAGCUGCUGCACACAGACAUGAGGGCUAGGCUAAAACAGUAAGGUCAAGUUGUUUCGACAGAAAGGCUACAGGGUGCGGUCCUGGCUCUUGUGUAAGAAUUCUGACGGCACUAACCAUGCCUAGGAAGGAAAGGAGUUGUUGUUUUGUAAGGGAUUGAGGUUUGGGAGAUUAAUUGGACAUGAUCAGCAGGGAGAGCAUGUGUGUUUUUAUGAGAAUUAUGCAGAGAUAGGUAACAGAUGGAGAAGAAAUUUGAGCUUUGGAGGGGGAUACCUGAUAUCCUUUGGAGAAUAAAUGCUGAAGAAGCAGAAGUGUGUCUUGUUGAGAAGAUUCAAAGGAGGGGCUACAAAGAAGAAGGUCAUCAAUAUAUUGAAUAAGGUGAGAAGCAGAGGGGUGGAAAGAAAGUAGAUCAUGAGAAAGAGCUUGGCUGAAGUAAAUGAGGGCUGUCCCUGAAACCUUGCGGCAGCACAGCCCAGGUAAGCUGCUGGGACUGUUGGGUGUCAGGGUCAGUCCAGGUGACAGCAAAGAGAGGCUGGGAUGAGGGGUGCAGGGGAAUAGUGAAAAAAGCAUCUUUAAGAUGAAGCACAGAAUAGUGAGUUGUGGAGGAAGGUAUUGAGGACAAAAGAGUGUACAGGUUGGGCACCACAGGGUGGAUAGGCAAAACAAUUUGGUUGGUAAGGCGCAGAUCCUGAACUAAUCUGUAAGACUUGUCGGGUUUUUGGACAGGUAAAAUGGGGGAAUUGUAAGGAGAGUUUAUAGGUUUUAGAAGCCUAUGCUGUAGCAGGUCAGUGAUAACAGGCUUUAAUCCUUUUAAAGCGUGCGGUGGGAUGGGAUAUUGGCGUUGAGUGGGGUAAGGGUGAUUAGGUUUAGUGGGAUGGUAAUGGGCAUGUGAUCGGUUGCCAGGGAAGGAGUAGAGAUGUCCUAUACUUGUGGUUAAGGUGGGGGGAUAUGAGAGGAAGACGCAAAGGAGGCUUUGGGUUGGGGAGAAGGGUGGCAAUGAGAUGCAGCUGUAGUCCAGGAAUAGUCAGGGAAGCAGAUAAUUUAGUAAGUGUCUCGGCCUAAUAAGGGAACUGGGCAGGUGGGGAUAACUAAAAAGGAGUGCUUAAAAGAGCAUUGUCUAAGUUGGCACCAGAGUUGGGGAGUUUUCAGAGGUUUAGAAGCCUGGCUGUCAAUACCCACAACAGUUAUGGAGGCAAGGGAAACAGGCCCUUGAAAAGAAGGCAACGUGGAGUGGGUAGUCCCCGUUUCGAUUAAACAGGGGAUGGAUUUACCCUCCACUGUGAGAGUUACCCAAAGCUUGGCGUCCGUGAUGGUCCAGGGGGUUUCCAAGGCGAUGAGGCAGCGUCACUCUUCAGUCGCUAAGCCGAGAAGGAGUCAGUCAGAGAGCCUUGGGCCAGAGUUCUCAGGGCUCUGGGAGUGGCUGCCAGGUUUUGACAUAAUUUGGUGUCAGAAGUAGAAUUGAAGCUGGUUAGUUGGACAGAUGGACAACCCCUGAAAUUGAGUGAAUUGCCUGUGCUGAGCCCUUUUGAGCUCUCCACCUCCGUGGCUGACCUUUUCUACCCUGCUGAAUCUCCUCUCAGAUUCCUGGACUCCUUUUUGGGCUAAGGAAUUGGGUUACUUUGUGCCCCGCCUCUGCCCGCAGGGAAGACCAUUCCUGGAUUUACCCUUCGAGGGAGCAGUAGAAGCGGAUCUGGCAUGAAGUGGGGGACACAACUCCCCUUAUGCUCCCAGCACAUCUCCUGGGCUGAGGCCAUCUCAGAUUGGAAGACCAGCUUUCCAAAGCAAGUCUCCUCCACAUCAUGAAGGAGAAAAAGGAUCCUAUCACCCCUAUUGCAAUCAUCAUCCCUGGCUGACAGAGGACAUCCUCAACUGAGCUUCUCGGCAAGGCUGGGAUCUUCACCAGCACGUUCCUUAUGACUUUGGUAAACAAACAUCCUCUGGGCCCUCUCACAGAGUCAGCUAGUGAAUUUCUCGCCUCGCAUUCUUGGCCUUGAUCCAUUUUAGGAGGCCCACUUCUCUGAGGCUUUGAGGCUUUUCUCUUCCAUCUGCCAAGGAAGUUAUGAUAUUUCUAUUUCACUUAAUGUGAGCCAUCACUAUUUCCAAGGUCUUGAAAGCCUAAGAUCUUAUUAGCUCUGUUUUCCAGGAUGCUAUUAACCCUGUUUCGCAGCAUAUUAGCCCUUGCCAGGAUGCUAAAUCCUUUAUCAUGGAAGAAGCUCCUAUAAUAAUAAACCAUCUUUAAUCCAACUUUAUCUCCCAUUUCCCCUCAGUUUAGCACCUUCAAGAUUCCAUUCCAUGCGUGCUCUCCUAGCUCCUGCAGGUAUAUGUUAGCCAGAUUCUGCAGCAACUUGGUCCCUCUAAUUCCUUAGUAAGCCCAAUACCCCAUCAAUAGACCUCCACAGAGAUUUGACUUUUAUAAUUCGCCAGGAUGGGAGGUGGGGUAGACCACGAGGGAAGCAAACUGUGUCUCACAAAAUGCCAGCCUUACUUGAGGCUCCUGCACCAUCUUUGAGCAAAGGGAAGAGCCAUCUUCUAACGAGGGGAAAUGGACCAAUUCUAAAGGAGCAGCUGGUUCAGGGGAAUCUGGGGAUUCAAUAUUCUCAAAUACCUAUAUCCAGACACUGCUGUCCCAAAUUGCAGGGUUCUAUUCCUUCCUCAUGAAAGACUUGACCAUGGCAUAGGAGACCUAGUGGGGUGGGGAAUUCAACCAUUCCAGAAACUCCUCUACUCUUAGAAUUAAGUCCUGAGCCUGGUCUUCUCUCUGCCCUCCAGUUGUAAGAGAUCAAGUUUUCCUUAAAAGCUGCAGAGAAACCUUUGACUUUCAGUAUUGCCUUGAAUUGGUGGUUAAUUGCUCUGACUGUCCUUAUCUCUCAUCAAUAAAUCAAGAGCACUCAGCAUCAACCACCCACUUCCAUAGUCCUCGUUGCUAUGAUUGUCUUCAUUCUCUCAAGCCUCAGAGAUAUUGCAUCAGUCCAUGCUAUCCUUUCUACUGGAAAGCCAACCCAGUUCAUCACUGGUGGAACGUUAUGGCAUCUGCACCCCUACAGCAUCACCUCCUACCACUGGUGAUGGGAUCCUUACACCAACUGGCCAGCAAGUGAUCCUGCUCCAACAUCCCCUUCAAAUGACUCUAAAUUAGAGGCUACUGCCUAGGGCCACUUCUGGUACUAGUAAAUGGCCCUAGAUUGGGUUCUCUGGAAAAAGACUCAGAGCCAGACUUUAUGCUGAAGACUUUCUGCAGGUACGCUCAGGAGAUAUACCUAGGGGAGUGAAGACGGCAGGACUGGGCAGAGGGAGAAGCCACCCUUCCCUGCAGUUGCAACUAAGGCCUCAGGUGAUCCUUUAUGGAGUUCUGCAUCAGCUGAUUGUUGGCCACAGAAUACCCCAGGAGGGGAUGUAACCCUGGGUGAAGCUGUUUCCUGUGGCUGGGAGGGAUGCAACUGUGAGCUGUCACCCACUGACAUUCUUGGCCUCUGGGGAAUAGACAGUUACAUAGGCCUUGAAGUUGGGAUCCGGAAUGAAAACCAGUAUCCCACAUACAGCUCUACUAUGAAAGGGUGCUUGGCAGACAAAACAAAUAGAUGUCCACUCUAACCUUAAAGAAUGGAUAGCCCAGCAUCUUGGGAGGCCGAGGCAGGAGAAUUGCUUGAGCCCAGGAGUUCAAGACCAGCCUGGGCAACAUAGUGAGACCCUGUCUCUACAAAAAAAAAAUUAAAAAAAUAGCCAGGCAUGGUGGCUCAUGCCCUGUAGCCCCAGCUACUUGGGAGGUGGAGGGAUCACUUGAACCCAGGAGGUUGAGGCUGCAAAUGAGCUAUGCUCAUGCAGCUACACUCCAGCCUGGGCAACAGAGUGAGAUCCUGUCUCAAAAAAGAAAAAAAAAAGAAUAGGAAAGAUCUGGAUAGGUGUAGUGGGUGGUGAGGUUGUUUCAAAUGAGGGAGAGAGCAGGGGUGAAGGCUUCAACAUGGGAGUGAACAGGGACUAUUCUAACGUGCAGGUCACCCACUGGGCAAAAGGGAGGUGGGUGAAAAGUCUGUUUUGGGUAUUUGUAAUAACAGAAAAGGUCUUAACUUGUCCAUGCCUAGUUGGGAAAAAAAUUUUUUUAUAUCUGGAUUGUUCUGGAAAUCCCGUGAAAUUAUAGCUUAUGAAACCGUAGUGCUAUAGAUUAAAUGUUUAGGUCUCCCCAAAUCCAUAUGUUAAAAUUUUAAUCCCUAAUGUGAUGGUAUUUGAAGAUGUGGCCUUUGAGAAGUGAUUAGGUCAGGCAGGUGGAGCCCUUAUGAAUGAGUCCCUUAGGAAAAAGACCCCAGAGAACUCACUCACCCCUUCUACCAUGUGAGAACACAGCCAGAAGGCAUGUCCAUAAACCAUGAAAUGGGCCCUCAUCAGACACCAGCUCUGCCAGUGCCUUGAUCUUGGACUUGCCAGCCUCCAGAAUUGUGAGAAGAAAAUUUUUUUUUCUUAUAAGCUAUUUGGUCUAUGGUAUUUUUGUUAGAGCAGCCUGUUAUAUUUUUUCCUAAUUUGGUCUUAAGGUUCUCUCCUGAGGGAGGCUGUAAACUCUAGGCCUGCCCUGAUGGGGCUGUAGGGGAAGUGGUCAUGAACGUUUACUCUGUGUCUUUCACAGGAUACUUCUUUAUCCUAAUAAAGGAUGCCUAACUGUCUGGCCUGUGACCCGGGGUCCCUAUCACAGGAAAUGUGUUUCCCUUGGUAAAUGCCUUUGUGGCUCUUGUUUGACCUAUGUCCAGUUUUUUCCAAGUGAGAUAGCCACUGUCUCGGGGAACGCUGACCUGGAGAGAAGUUAGCUUCAGGUGUGUCGGUCAGGUGAGACACAGAGGAGACGAUGCAACAAAACACAGGAAAUAUCAGAAGCAGUGGAUUACUUACCGAUCCACAAGAGAAGGGGAGUACCAAUAAGGUCAACAGGAAGACUGCAGGGGCAGGGCACUUAACCAGCAGGGGGAGUACCAGAGAGGGAAGGACCUAGGGGCUGGGGCCUUCACUGGGGUCCCGGGUGUUACCCAGGCAGGUUUCCUGCUGGGAGUUCUAACUGAUGGUUAUAGAGCAAGCAGGCAUGAGUUCCAUGGAGUCACGCUUACUUUAAGAUGGUCAUUGCAGCAUAUCUGUGCAGCCCUCGUCGAGUGUGGGGGUCAGUGGGGUGAGAUGCAAAGCAGGCUGCAUCUAGCUGUCCCAUAGCAAAGCAUUCAUCAGGAGGCAGUUUUUUAAGGCAGAUAUCUGGGUCAACCACCUUGAGAAAUUGGGAAUAGGUGGGUAACUGGAAACUGUGUCAAUGGUGACUAUUCUUUGCUUCGGGUAUAAGAAGGUCCAAAUUGUAUUCAAAAUAGAUGCUGAAGCAACAUAAAAUUAUAGGAAUUCACUACAUAGCUUGAGUGGAUUAAGACAAGUAGGAAUAUACCAAAGAUUGCAAAUUCAGACGUGUACACUGCUGACCAGGCAACAUAAAUAAGUAAAGCAGGCUGAAUUUUACUCUUUUAACACAAACACACAUCACAUAUAAAAUAUGCCCAGCCCCUGCUAGUCUAUAUGAAGGCUUUGAGCAAAUUAGAAAAUGAUGUCCCCUCUGGGCUCAUGCUGCCCCAAGCCAGGGGUAAGUGUGCACUGUAUACCAGCCCUGACUUGUGCUGUUUGUGCAGGACACAAAUUACACAACCAUUAGGCAAUCUUGCAAAUAUGUUCUGUUCCAUUUUUCUUCAAACAGAUGGCCUUUUCUACCUUUCAUUCACAG
This 9966-nucleotide long non-coding RNA is filed under the name Homo sapiens (human). Its description in RNAcentral is "HSALNT0023665". The record is from RNAcentral. Lineage: Eukaryota; Metazoa; Chordata; Mammalia; Primates; Hominidae.